GACGAACGCUGGCGGCGUGCCUAAUACAUGCAAGUAGAACGCUGAAGAGAGGAGCUUGCUCUUCUUGGAUGAGUUGCGAACGGGUGAGUAACGCGUAGGUAACCUGCCUUGUAGCGGGGGAUAACUAUUGGAAACGAUAGCUAAUACCGCAUAACAAUGGAUGACACAUGUCAUUUAUUUGAAAGGGGCAAUUGUUCCACUACAAGAUGGACCUGCGUUGUAUUAGCUAGUAGGUGAGGUAAUGGCUCACCUAGGCGACGAUACAUAGCCGACCUGAGAGGGUCAUCGGCCACACUGGGACUGAGACACGGCCCAGACUCCUACGGGAGGCAGCAGUAGGGAAUCUUCGGCAAUGGGGGCAACCCUGACCGAGCAACGCCGCGGGAGUGAAGAAGGUUUUCGGAUCGUAAAGCUCUGUUGUAAGUCAAGAACGGGUGUGAGAGUGGAAAGUUCACACUGUGACGGUAGCUUACCAGAAAGGGACGGCUAACUACGUG
Molecule: ribosomal RNA, 497 nt
Filed under: uncultured bacterium
Lineage: Bacteria
Description: partial 16S ribosomal RNA
Rfam family: Bacterial small subunit ribosomal RNA
Source: RNAcentral